UGACCCGGACGUGAUUUGAACACGCAGCCUUCUGAUAUGGAGUCAGACGCGCUACCGUUGCGCUACCGAGUC
This 72-nucleotide transfer RNA is filed under the name Araneus ventricosus. Its description in RNAcentral is "tRNA-Trp". Lineage: Eukaryota; Metazoa; Arthropoda; Arachnida; Araneae; Araneidae. The record is from RNAcentral.